UUGAAUCCUUGCUUGGUCGCUCUUGAUCCUCCAAAAUCGCUCCAAAUGUUGUUCUCAGUGUCAAAAAUUCGAUAAUGAUCCAGAUCUGAUGUUUCCUUUUUAUAAAAAUGAUCAAAAGUAACGUUUUCCGCCUGAGGCACAGAAUUUCCGCCCCAGGCGUAAGAAGUUACGUUUCAGGCACAAGAAUUCCGCCUGAAACGGCAAAACAGUGAGCAAACCAGCUUCUUCAGUGAAAUUUCCGCCCCAGGCGGAAAAAUUCCGUUUUAGGCGUAAAAAUACUAUACAAUCCAACAAUUUUCAUUUGCUAUCUUUCUUCGCAUGUAGCUUCAAAUCAAUGUUUCAUUCUUCAUGAUUUAGGUCAAAAACCUCUAAAAAUACUUGAAAAUGGUCUUUAUUUCCAUGUAAUGACUAACGUCAUCAAU
RNAcentral lists this long non-coding RNA (422 nucleotides) under Trifolium pratense (red clover). RNAcentral's name for it is "long non-coding RNA (TPRA_LNC014401)". The record is from RNAcentral. Lineage: Eukaryota; Viridiplantae; Streptophyta; Magnoliopsida; Fabales; Fabaceae.